Long non-coding RNA from Hordeum vulgare subsp. vulgare (domesticated barley), 329 nucleotides. RefSeq lists it as uncharacterized. The transcript has 2 exons. NCBI's taxonomy places the organism in Eukaryota, Viridiplantae, Streptophyta, Magnoliopsida, Poales, Poaceae. The record is from RefSeq and is a predicted model, not a curated record.
GUACUCAUGUCACUGCACCCUGUGGCUCGACGCCAUGACCGUACCCAGCAUGGGAUCGAGUGAAGAAUUUGGAUUGGGAUCAUGGAGUAAAUCAAACGAGGAUGCAACUCAUGUUCAUGUAGGGUAGAGCCAGCCAUGGUGUAGAGGCCAGAUAGUUUUAGUAUUCAGACUUUCAGUUGUUGCUAGCUCUACUCUGCUCUACCGGAAUAGAUGUGUUUUUUCCACACAAAAUUCUAACAUGAAUUUGCUAUUUAGCUGGCAAAUCCAAUAAUUUAUGUAUUGUAUUUGCAUUUUGCAAUUUAAUUUGGCUGCCAAAGUGCUACAUCGUA